This 869-nucleotide long non-coding RNA is filed under the name Salmo salar (Atlantic salmon). Its description in RNAcentral is "lncRNA (ENSSSAG00000120125.1)". The record is from RNAcentral. Lineage: Eukaryota; Metazoa; Chordata; Actinopteri; Salmoniformes; Salmonidae.
GAGGGUUUAAGCCCUGGAUUGUCAACCCCCUGUCCUCUCCUACAGAACAAUAGAGACCUAUAGGGACAGAUAGAGGCCUCAGCUCACACUGAAACAUGUCUCAGAAGGUAAAUCAUCCUGCUCACACUGGAGCAGGCUGGUUGGACUCUGGCAGGGUUUGGCAAUGGGACUGAACACGUGAUUUAUCAGGGGCAGUGAAUAUGUAUAUGCACCCUUGUGUGUGUGUGUGUGUGUGUGUGUGUGUGUGUGUGUGUGUGUGUGUGUGUGUGUGUGUGUGUGUGUGUGUGUGUGUGUGUGUGUGUGUGUGUGUGUGUGUGUGAGAGAGAGUCUAGAGACAGAUAUUGAAGUAUGAGCCAUUGGGCUUUCAUGAAACAUGCAAGGACCUGAGCAGUGUGUCUGUGAUUGAUUCCUAAUGGGAAAGGCGGAUGACUGAGAGAUACACAGGUCUGUUUGUAUUGGAGGACCAGAGAGGAUCAGAUACAGGAAAAGGAAGAGAUACACAGGUCUGUUUGUAUUGGAGGACCAGAGAGGAUCAGAUACAGGAAAAGGAAGAGAUACACAGGUCUGUUUGUAUUGGAGGACCAGAGAGGAUCAGAUACAGGAAAAGGAAGAGAUACACAGGUCUGUUUGUGUUGGAGGACCAGAGAGGAUCAGAUACAGGAAAAGGAAGAGAUACACAGGUCUGUUUGUGUUGGAGGAUCAGAGAGGAUCAGAUACAGGAAAAGGAAGAGAUACGCAGAGUAUUUUUGUCUCUCUCUCUCGUCUGACUAAUUUACCCGGUGUCCUUUCAGCCUGUCACUCCCCCUGCGACGUCACAUUUAGUGGCACAUCAGAAAGCCGGGAGGAGAGAGAGGAGAGGAAGUAGCGAG